AUACAUUUUUAAGAGAAUGUGCAUGAACACAAUAGAAUUUAAGCAAUAGAAAGAAAACCAGCCCCAAAGAAUAAAACAUUCCUCUCCAAGUGAUCACCAUCAACAAAUGAAAUAUGAUUUGUUAUGUCCAUAGCAGUGACAUCAAAUUAACAAAUACAAAACAAAAUUUUCCUCAUUUCUAUAAUCUUGUUCAAAGAAAAUACCAAAUUUAGCAUCUCAUCCAUAUAAAUCAGAAGAUUUUAUAACAAAAUAAUGAUACAUUAUGACUGAUCCAGUCAUUCGAUUGUCAAAGUAGUUUGAUAUGAUAUACAUAUGCAAAAAUUUUAAAAACUUCUUUUCCCCCUCCAACAAUUGAUAUUGAACAAUGUCAAUUAGUAUUCUUUGAUUCAGU
This 391-nucleotide unclassified non-coding RNA is filed under the name Hevea brasiliensis (rubber tree). The record is from RNAcentral. Lineage: Eukaryota; Viridiplantae; Streptophyta; Magnoliopsida; Malpighiales; Euphorbiaceae.